RNAcentral lists this transfer RNA (72 nucleotides) under Apaloderma vittatum (bar-tailed trogon). It matches the Rfam family "tRNA". Rfam says of the family: Transfer RNA (tRNA) molecules are approximately 80 nucleotides in length. Their secondary structure includes four short double-helical elements and three loops (D, anti-codon, and T loops). The record is from Rfam by way of RNAcentral. Lineage: Eukaryota; Metazoa; Chordata; Aves; Trogoniformes; Trogonidae.
GGCCAGUUAGCUCAGUUGGUUAGAGCAUGGUGCUGCACACCAAGGUUGUGGGUUCGAACCCCGCUCGGUCCC